This 461-nucleotide ribosomal RNA is filed under the name uncultured bacterium. Its description in RNAcentral is "partial 16S ribosomal RNA". It matches the Rfam family "Bacterial small subunit ribosomal RNA", at positions 338 to 795 of the family's 1533-position model. The record is from RNAcentral.
CCUACGGGAGGCAGCAGUGAGGAAUAUUGGUCAAUGGGCGGGAGCCUGAACCAGCCAAGUCGCUUGAGGGAAGACGGUCCUAUGGAUUGUAAACCUCUUUAGUCGGGGAGCAAUGCCGGGCACGCGUGCCCGGAGGGAGAGUACCCGCAGAAUAAGCAUCGGCUAACUCCGUGCCAGCAGCCGCGGUAAUACGGAGGAUGCGAGCGUUAUCCGGAUUUUUUGGGUUUAAAGGGUGCGUAGGCGGAUUUUUAAGUCAGCGGUAAAAUGUCCGGGCUCAACCCGGGCCGGCCGUUGAAAAUGGGGAUUUUGAGUGGGAGAGAAGUAUGCGGAAUGCGUGGUGUAGCGGUGAAAUGCAUAGAUAUCACGCAGAACUCCGAUUGCGAAGGCAGCAUACCGGCGCCCGACUGACGCUGAGGCACGAAAGCGUGGGGAUCGAACAGGAUUAGAUACCCCUGGUAGUC